RNAcentral lists this ribosomal RNA (252 nucleotides) under uncultured bacterium. RNAcentral's name for it is "partial 16S ribosomal RNA". It matches the Rfam family "Bacterial small subunit ribosomal RNA", at positions 524 to 776 of the family's 1533-position model. The record is from RNAcentral.
UACAGAGGUGGCAAGCGUUGUUCGGAAUUACUGGGCGUAAAGGGCGCGUAGGCGGUCUUGUCAGUCCCUUGUGAAAUCCCCCGGCUCAACUGGGGAACUGCACGGGAAACAGCAGGGCUUGAGUUCGGGAGAGGGAAGCGGAAUUCCGGGUGUAGCGGUGAAAUGCGUAGAUAUCCGGAGGAACACCGGUGGCGAAGGCGGCUUCCUGGACCGAUACUGACGCUGAGGCGCGAAAGCUAGGGAGCAAACGGG